AUUGAACGCUGGCGGCAUGCUUUACACAUGCGAGUCGAACGGCAGCGCGGGCUUCGGCUUGGCGGCGAGUGGCGAACGGGUGAGUAAUGCAUCGGAACGUGCCCAGUAGUGGGGGAUAGCCCGGCGAAAGCCGGAUUAAUACCGCAUACGACCUGAGGGUGAAAGCGGGGGACCGAAAGGCCUCGCGCUAUUGGAGCGGCCGAUGUCGGAUUAGCUAGUUGGUGGGGUAAAGGCUUACCAAGGCGACGAUCCGUAGCUGGUCUGAGAGGACGACCAGCCACACUGGGACUGAGACACGGCCCAGACUCCUACGGGAGGCAGCAGUGGGGAAUUUUGGACAAUGGGGGCAACCCUGAUCCAGCCAUGCCGCGUGCGGGAAGAAGGCCUUCGGGUUGUAAACCGCUUUUGUUCGGGAAGAAAUCCUCUGGGCUAAUACCCCGGGGGGAUGACGGUACCGGAAGAAUAAGCACCGGCUAACUACGUG
Molecule: ribosomal RNA, 484 nt
Filed under: uncultured bacterium
Lineage: Bacteria
Description: partial 16S ribosomal RNA
Rfam family: Bacterial small subunit ribosomal RNA
Source: RNAcentral